AUGAAUGGAGAUGGUCACUCUAUUAAACCAAGUUAGGAAUGAGGUGAGCACUCUUCCACAGAACACUCGGCUAAUUUCAGCAGUUUGCUGCCCUCUACUGGAAAAGGGUGGUCCUCCAAAUAUCUAAGCAGGAAAUCGACAGCAAGGACAACUGCAACUAUGGUGGCGAUAUGCAGACUCAAUCGCUUUAGAAUGGAAUGGACCUUAUUGAGAAAAACAAGCAUGACAGCUGCCUGGCUUCAACUCCGCAGAACAGGAAUAUAGUUGGCAUCUGGCAAAACAAUGAAAAUGACAACACUGAAAGAGCGCAACUGAAAGGAGCUAGCCAGCUACUCAGAUGCAAGAUGUACAUUCCUAUAAAUAAAAUCUACAACUUUUUUAAAGAAAGAAAGCCCAAGUUUAAUGUGGGUUUUUUUCAUCAGUUUGGGAGAUCUGGAAUAAAAAUAUUCCCUAGUACAGUAACAGAGGCAAAUGGCAUCUAUAAAUGAACAUAUCCCACUUGUGGAAGAUAUACGGUACAUUUAAAAAGGACACUGAUUGUAGCUGAACACUGACAUGUUCAGUUGCCUGUGGUGACUAUUCCUAAAAAAAUAUAACUGGCUUAACCCUGAAAUGCCAAAUAUCCAUCAGCUCUUGAUACAAAGAAAAAAGCCACCGAAGUUUGUGUUUUAAUAGCAUAUUUGAUACAAGACAGAGAAAGUUAGCAUAUUGUACCCAAAUGGCAGGGCUCUUCAGCCUCACCCACCAAACAUACUUAGCCCCCAACUUCCAGAUGAAUUUUACUGAUCAACUCAGUGAAGGUUUGUAAUCCUAGUUUAAAUAAAUGUACAUGGCUGAACAAAUGUAUCUGCAUCCCAGUAUGACAAACAGGAAUUAAGACUUCUAGGUAAAGAUGACAUUCCCUGCAAACCUAGUGCAUAAAGGCCACACAGAAUGUAUUACACAACUCUCCUUUUUUAAACACAGAAAGCAAAACAAAUACACUUUCAAUAUUCUAAACCUCAUGGUUGCAAGGAAUACUUUAACAGCACGGGCAGAUUUUGCCAAAUUCUGAUUGGCAUGCCGAAGGUUAUUGAUGCAAUCCACGGUUGUCAAACAACGUAAUAGCAGGAAGCAAGGCUAGAAAAGACCUUUGCCCAAGAUAUUGAAAAUGCUGCUGCCAAUGAACAAAUAUUGGGCUGACUCAGGCUGCUUCAAAUGUUCUGGCCAAUGUUAAGAUAUCUAUACUAGUCCUAAUUCCUUUCCUGU
Molecule: long non-coding RNA, 1248 nt
Organism: Podarcis raffonei (Aeolian wall lizard)
Lineage: Eukaryota; Metazoa; Chordata; Lepidosauria; Squamata; Lacertidae
Exons: 3
Source: RefSeq, a predicted model, not a curated record